RNAcentral lists this ribosomal RNA (465 nucleotides) under uncultured bacterium. RNAcentral describes it as "partial 16S ribosomal RNA". It matches the Rfam family "Bacterial small subunit ribosomal RNA", at positions 28 to 507 of the family's 1533-position model. The record is from RNAcentral.
GACGAACGCUGGCGGCGUGCUUAACACAUGCCAGUCGAACGGAAAGGCCCCUUUGGGGGUACUCGAGUGGCGAACGGGUGAGUAACACGUGAGUAACCUGCCCUUGACUUCGGGAUAACUUCAGGAAACUGGGGCUAAUACCGGAUAGGAAUCCUUGCUGCAUGGUGGGGGUUGGAAAGCUUCGGCGGUUUUGGAUGGACUCGCGGCUUAACAGCUUGUUGGUGGGGUAGUGGCUUACCAAGGCUUUGACGGGUAGCCGGCCUGAGAGGGCGACCGGCCACAUUGGGACUGAGAUACGGCCCAGACUCCUACGGGAGGCAGCAGUGGGGAAUAUUGCACAAUGGGCGGAAGCCUGAUGCAGCAACGCCGCGUGCGGGAUGACGGCCUUCGGGUUGUAAACCGCUUUCAGCAGGGGCGAAGCUUGUGGUGACGGUACCUGCAGAAGAAGCACCGGCUAACUACGUG